This is a ribosomal RNA of Enterococcus columbae, 294 nucleotides long. It matches the Rfam family "Bacterial small subunit ribosomal RNA", at positions 1 to 275 of the family's 1533-position model. Lineage: Bacteria; Bacillati; Bacillota; Bacilli; Lactobacillales; Enterococcaceae. The record is from Rfam.
UUUUAUGAGAGUUUGAUCCUGGCUCAGGACGAACGCUGGCGGCGUGCCUAAUACAUGCAAGUCGAACGCACUUUCUUUCACCGUAGCUUGCUACACCGAAAGAAAGUGAGUGGCGAACGGGUGAGUAACACGUGGGUAACCUGCCCAUCAGCGGGGGAUAACACUUGGAAACAGGUGCUAAUACCGCAUAAUAUUACUUUUCGCAUGAGAAGUAAUUGAAAGGCGCAACUGCGUCACUGAUGGAUGGACCCGCGGUGCAUUAGCUAGUUGGUGAGGUAACGGCUCACCAAGGCA